GAUACAGUAAUGUCCCCAUAGACCAAGUGUGCAAACUCCAUCUCUUUUAGAUGUCGGAGAUGAUAUAGGAGGUACUCUGCAUGAAAAGCCAUCAAGUACUAUUCCUAAGUGACUGGAAAGGGCAGGGUGGUCUGCUUGAGUUGCCACCAGCGAUCUGCUUCUCCCACCAACAUGUAGGUAGUAAGGAUGGCCUUUUGUUCGGGGAUCACCCCGAGGGUUUUGAAGGCCUUCUCUAUCUCAGAUAACCAGAACUCAGCCUCUUCAAAGGAGGAUCCCCCUGCAAAAGUAGAAGGAUUUAGUCUUUUAUACCUUUAUAUGUAGCCUGAGUUCAUCAUGAGAGGAGUUGGGUCUUAUAGAUGAGGGACUGGGCUGGGCUAGGCUGAGGAUGGACUGGAUGGCCUACAGUGGUACUUGAUGAUACAGUGGAGGCACCGGACUAUAC
Molecule: long non-coding RNA, 442 nt
Filed under: Carica papaya (papaya)
Lineage: Eukaryota; Viridiplantae; Streptophyta; Magnoliopsida; Brassicales; Caricaceae
Description: long non-coding RNA (CPAP_LNC007431)
Source: RNAcentral